UACGUAGGUCCCAAGCGUUAUCCGGAAUUACUGGGCGUAAAGAGUCUGUAGGCGGAUAAGUAAGUUUUGUAUGAAAGACCGGAGCUCAACUCCGUGUUUGUGCAAAAAACUACUUGUCUAGAAUUAGGAAGAGGUAAACGGAAUGCUAAGAGUAGAGGUGCAAUUCGUAGAUACUUACCAGAACACCAAAAGCGAAGGCAGUUUACUGGGACUAUAUUGACGCUGAGAGACGAAAGCGUGGGGAGCGAAAAGGAUUAGAUACCCUUGUAGUCCACGCCCUAAACGAUGAGAGCUAAGUGCUGGGUCUUGUAUCCAGUGCUGAAGCAAACGCAUUAAGCUCUCCGCCUGAGGAGUACGGCCGCAAGGUUAAAACUCAAAUGAAUAGACGGGGACCCACACAAGCAGUGGAUCAUGUGGUCUAAUUCGAAAAUAAACGGGGAAUCUUACCCAGGCUUGACAUCUAACGAAUCCCGCAGAAAUGUAGGAGUGCUCGCAAGAGAACGUUAAGACAGGCGCUGCAUGGUUGUCGUCAGCUCGUGCCUUGAGGUGUUCGGGUAAGUCCGUUAACGAGCGCAACCCAUAUCGUUAGAUACUAUGUCUAACGAGACUGCCCGAGUUAAUCGGGAGGAAGGUGUGGAUGACGUCAAAUCAGCAUGGCCCUUAUGCCUGGGGCCACACACAUGAUACAAUGGUCGGUACAAAGAGUAGCAAUGUGGUGACACGGAGCCAAUCUCAAAAAGCCGAUCUCAGUCCGGAUUGAGGUCUGAAACUCGACCUCAUGAAGUUGGAAUUGCUAGUAAUCGUGAAUCAGAUAUGUCACGGUGAAUAUGUUCCCGGGUCU
This 841-nucleotide ribosomal RNA is filed under the name uncultured bacterium. Its description in RNAcentral is "SSU rRNA". It matches the Rfam family "Bacterial small subunit ribosomal RNA", at positions 524 to 1381 of the family's 1533-position model. The record is from RNAcentral.